RNAcentral lists this ribosomal RNA (103 nucleotides) under Salvator merianae (Argentine black and white tegu). Lineage: Eukaryota; Metazoa; Chordata; Lepidosauria; Squamata; Teiidae. The record is from RNAcentral.
GUUUACAGAUGUAGCUGCCUGACUGAUCUCAAAAAGUUAAGCAGGGUAGGACCUAGUUAGUAUUUGGAGGGGUAAUCACCAAAAAGUCCCCAGGCUGUAGGCU